RNAcentral lists this unclassified non-coding RNA (485 nucleotides) under Yarrowia lipolytica. Lineage: Eukaryota; Fungi; Ascomycota; Dipodascomycetes; Dipodascales. The record is from RNAcentral.
GGCGUGUCGAACGAUAUCACCGGCCGCAAUACCACCUGGACCACAGCCCGUCGGUUCGAAACAAGCAACCGAAUCGACCCUGGAGUUUCCUCCAUGACAAACACCCGCAAACUCUGCCGCCGCCAACCCUCACAAUCACAUUCAAGACACUCCCUUGCGGGCUUCUUCUGUACAUUUGCCACCCUUCCAAACUCCUUUUUCACACCACCGGCGACUAAAACUGUCGGUGGUGCGGAUCCGGAAAAACUGGCUCCGAAACGAACCCCAUUCUGGGCCAAACGGCCUCCGAUCUGCUGGUCCUACUCUGGUGAUGACAUGAUCGUCCGAAGAUCAUCUGUAAAGCUCAUGGGAAAACACCCAAAAACGACUUAUAUAACGCACCGCAAGCCUCAUAAACUACCCACUGCCACCUGAACCCUCCUGUUUACCUCUCUAGCUCGGAAUGGGCCCGUAUCCAUCAGGUACAGAAUGCAAUCGGGCUGACC